This 453-nucleotide ribosomal RNA is filed under the name uncultured bacterium. RNAcentral describes it as "bacterial SSU rRNA". It matches the Rfam family "Bacterial small subunit ribosomal RNA", at positions 40 to 518 of the family's 1533-position model. The record is from RNAcentral.
CGGCAUGGAUUAGGCAUGCAAGUCGAACGAAGCAGCAAUGCUUAGUGGCGCAAGGGUGAGGAACACGUGAGUGACCUACCCGCAAGUUUGGAACAGCUCCUGGAAACGGGAAUUAAUACCGGAUGUGAUCAUGAAGCUGCAUGGUUUCAUGAUUAAGCAGCAAUGCGCUUGCGGAUGGGCUCGCGUCCCAUUAGCUAGUUGGUGAGGUAACGGCCCACCAAGGCCAUGAUGGGUAGCUGGUCUGAGAGGACGACCAGCCACACUGGGACUGAGAACUGCCCAGACUCCUACGGGAGGCUGCAGUCGAGAAUUUUGGGCAAUGGACGAAAGUCUGAACCCCCAGCAAUGCCGCGUGCGGGAUGAAGGUCUUCGGAUUGUAAACCGCUGUUUGGAGGGACGAAAAUUGACGGUACUUCCAGAGGAAGCCACGGCUAACUACGUGCCAGCCGCUGC